This 446-nucleotide ribosomal RNA is filed under the name uncultured bacterium. RNAcentral describes it as "partial 16S ribosomal RNA". It matches the Rfam family "Bacterial small subunit ribosomal RNA", at positions 338 to 795 of the family's 1533-position model. The record is from RNAcentral.
CCUACGGGGGGCAACAGUCGAGAAUCAUUCACAAUGGGGGAAACUCUGAUGGUGCGACGCCGCGUGGGGGAAUGAAGGUCUUCGGAUUGUAAACCCCUGUCAUGUGGGAGCAAAUGAAAAAGAUAGUACCACAAGAGGAAGAGACGGCUAACUCUGUGCGAGAAGCCGCGGUAAUACAGAGGAGUCAAGCGUUGUUCGGAAUCACUGGGUGUAAGGCGUGGGAAGGCGGUUUCGUAAGUCGUGGGUGAAAGGCGCGGGCUCAACCGGCGGACGUCACAUGAUACUGCGAGACUAGAGUGAUGGAGGGGGAACCGGAAUGCUCGGUGUAGCAGUGAAAUGCGUAGAUAUCGGGAGGAACACUCGUGGCGAAGGCGGGUUCCUGGACAUUAACUGACGCUGAGGCACGAAGGCCAGGGGAGCGAAAAGGAUUAGAUACCCCUGUAGUC